Molecule: ribosomal RNA, 158 nt
Filed under: uncultured marine bacterium
Lineage: Bacteria
Description: partial 16S rRNA
Rfam family: Bacterial small subunit ribosomal RNA
Source: RNAcentral
CCUACGGGAGGCAGCAGUAGGGAAUUUUCCACAAUGGACGAAAGUCUGAUGGAGCAACGCCGCGUGCCGGAUGAAGGCCUUAGGGUCGUAAACGGCUUUUCUGUACGAGAAUUAUGAUAGUAGUACAGGAAUAAGGGACUGCUAACUACGUGCCAGCA